Molecule: ribosomal RNA, 253 nt
Filed under: uncultured bacterium
Lineage: Bacteria
Description: partial 16S ribosomal RNA
Rfam family: Bacterial small subunit ribosomal RNA
Source: RNAcentral
GACAGAGGGUGCAAACGUUGUUCGGAAUUACUGGGCGUAAAGCGCGUGUAGGCGGCAUGGCAAGUCGGGUGUGAAAGCCCUGGGCUCAACCCAGGAAGUGCAUUCGAUACUGCCAAGCUAGAGUCCUGGAGAGGAUGGUGGAACUCUCGGUGUAGAGGUGAAAUUCGUAGAUAUCGAGAAGAACACCGGUGGCGAAGGCGGCCAUCUGGACGGUGACUGACGCUGAGACGCGAAAGCGUGGGGAGCAAACAGG